Molecule: non-coding RNA, 564 nt
Organism: Pelobates cultripes (western spadefoot toad)
Lineage: Eukaryota; Metazoa; Chordata; Amphibia; Anura; Pelobatidae
Source: the annotation of a GenBank genome assembly
AACAAAGCUAAUGGCAUUUACAUAUCAAAGAGAUUUACUCAUCACUUACAAGGUACAUGACAAAUGGAUGAAGAGACAUUCAGACUUUUUCCAAGUGUAGAACCUCACACCUUGCAGACUUCACAUCCAUACAGUAAAAUCCUUUUCACAUUCCUAUGCCAUUCACACUACCCCUUCUGUCAUCUGCCCUCUGUGGGGGUCCCAGCUUCAAAAGAUGUAACCCCUGUUGACCUCAGCAAUAGCAUCUCUGUAAUUUGUGCCAUUUACUACAAGAAAUCACAUUAAAAGAUGAUAUUCCAUAGUGUCAUAAUAAAUUAUUCACCCUUGCCGUGACACUGGGUACAAUACAGAGCCUGCCAUACAAUACACAGAGCUGGGUACAAUACAGAGACUGCCGUACAAUACACAGAGCUGGGUACAAUACAGAGACUGCCGUACAAUACACAGAGCUGGGUACAAUACAGAGACUGCCAUACAAUACACAGAGCUGGGUACAAUACAGAGCCUGCCAUACAACACACAGAGCUGGGUACAAUACACAGACUGCCAUACAAUACACAGAGC